UACGUAGGGUGCAAGCGUUGUCCGGAAUUAUUGGGCGUAAAGAGCUCGUAGGCGGUCUGUCGCGUCUGCUGGGAAAACUCAGGGCUUAACCCUGAGCUUGCAGUGGGUACGGGCAGACUAGAGUGCGGUAGGGGAGAUUGGAAUUCCUGGUGUAGCGGUGGAAUGCGCAGAUAUCAGGAGGAACACCAAUGGCGAAGGCAGAUCUCUGGGCCGUAACUGACGCUGAGGAGCGAAAGCAUGGGGAGCGAACAGG
RNAcentral lists this ribosomal RNA (253 nucleotides) under uncultured bacterium. RNAcentral describes it as "partial 16S ribosomal RNA". It matches the Rfam family "Bacterial small subunit ribosomal RNA", at positions 524 to 776 of the family's 1533-position model. The record is from RNAcentral.